UAACCUGCCCAAGAGACUGGGAUAACACCUGGAAACAGAUGCUAAUACCGGAUAACAACACUAGACGCAUGUCUAGAGUUUGAAAGAUGGUUCUGCUAUCACUCUUGGAUGGACCUGCGGUGCAUUAGCUAGUUGGUAAGGUAACGGCUUACCAAGGCAAUGAUGCAUAGCCGAGUUGAGAGACUGAUCGGCCACAUUGGGACUGAGACACGGCCCAAACUCCUACGGGAGGCAGCAGCC
RNAcentral lists this ribosomal RNA (240 nucleotides) under uncultured bacterium. RNAcentral describes it as "partial 16S ribosomal RNA". It matches the Rfam family "Bacterial small subunit ribosomal RNA", at positions 122 to 355 of the family's 1533-position model. The record is from RNAcentral.